RNAcentral lists this ribosomal RNA (858 nucleotides) under Lactobacillus sp. 14.2.41. RNAcentral's name for it is "bacterial SSU rRNA". It matches the Rfam family "Bacterial small subunit ribosomal RNA", at positions 54 to 876 of the family's 1533-position model. The record is from RNAcentral. Lineage: Bacteria; Bacillati; Bacillota; Bacilli; Lactobacillales; Lactobacillaceae.
CAUGCAAGUCGAACGAGCUUCCGUUGAAUGACGUGCUUGCACUGAUUUCAACAAUGAAGCGAGUGGCGAACUGGUGAGUAACACGUGGGGAAUCUGCCCAGAAGCAGGGGAUAACACUUGGAAACAGGUGCUAAUACCGUAUAACAACAAAAUCCGCAUGGAUUUUGUUUGAAAGGUGGCUUCGGCUAUCACUUCUGGAUGAUCCCGCGGCGUAUUAGUUAGUUGGUGAGGUAAAGGCCCACCAAGACGAUGAUACGUAGCCGACCUGAGAGGGUAAUCGGCCACAUUGGGACUGAGACACGGCCCAAACUCCUACGGGAGGCAGCAGUAGGGAAUCUUCCACAAUGGACGAAAGUCUGAUGGAGCAAUGCCGCGUGAGUGAAGAAGGGUUUCGGCUCGUAAAACUCUGUUGUUAAAGAAGAACACCUUUGAGAGUAACUGUUCAAGGGUUGACGGUAUUUAACCAGAAAGCCACGGCUAACUACGUGCCAGCAGCCGCGGUAAUACGUAGGUGGCAAGCGUUGUCCGGAUUUAUUGGGCGUAAAGCGAGCGCAGGCGGUUUUUUAAGUCUGAUGUGAAAGCCUUCGGCUUAACCGGAGAAGUGCAUCGGAAACUGGGAGACUUGAGUGCAGAAGAGGACAGUGGAACUCCAUGUGUAGCGGUGGAAUGCGUAGAUAUAUGGAAGAACACCAGUGGCGAAGGCGGCUGUCUAGUCUGUAACUGACGCUGAGGCUCGAAAGCAUGGGUAGCGAACAGGAUUAGAUACCCUGGUAGUCCAUGCCGUAAACGAUGAGUGCUAAGUGUUGGAGGGUUUCCGCCCUUCAGUGCUGCAGCUAACGCAUUAAGCACUCCGCCUGG